ACUAGAUUAUUAAUAGAUAUGUUCUUUAAAUUCAAAGAAUUUGGCGGUGAUUUAGUCUAAUCAGAGGAACCUGCUUUUAAAUCGAUAUGGCACGUAAAAUCUUACUUAUUUUUGUUUUUAGUUUGUAUACCAUCAUUAUCAGAUAAUUUUAAAAAAAUAAAUUAUUAAAAAUAACUGUAUUAGUUAAAUUAGAUCAAGGUGCAGCUUAUAAAUAAGUUAAAGUGGGUUACAAUAAAUUUUAUUUAAACGGAAUAAAGUUAGUUAUGGGCUUUAGGAAGGAGGAUUUGAUUGUAAUAUAAAUUUAAUAAGUUUAGGAGAUAAAAGCUCUGAAUUGUGUACACAUCGCCG
Molecule: ribosomal RNA, 348 nt
Filed under: Potamonautes sp. HMNR1
Lineage: Eukaryota; Metazoa; Arthropoda; Malacostraca; Decapoda; Potamonautidae
Description: partial 12S ribosomal RNA
Source: RNAcentral